GGUUAAGCGACUAAGCGUACACGGUGGAUGCCCUGGCAGUCAGAGGCGAUGAAGGACGUGCUAAUCUGCGAUAAGCGCCGGUAAGGUGAUAUGAACCGUUAUAACCGGCGAUUUCCGAAUGGGGAAACCCAGUGUGACUCGUCACACUAUCAUUAACUGAAUCCAUAGGUUAAUGAGGCGAACCGGGGGAACUGAAACAUCUAAGUACCCCGAGGAAAAGAAAUCAACCGAGAUUCCCCCAGUAGCGGCGAGCGAACGGGGAGGAGCCCAGAGCCUGAAUCAGCAUGUGUGUUAGUGGAAGCGUCUGGAAAGGCGCGCGAUACAGGGUGACAGCCCCGUACACAAAAGCGCAUGUGCUGUGAGCUCGAUGAGUAGGGCGGGACACGUGGUAUCCUGUCUGAAUAUGGGGGGACCAUCCUCCAAGGCUAAAUACUCCUGACUGACCGAUAGUGAACCAGUACCGUGAGGGAAAGGCGAAAAGAACCCCGGCGAGGGGAGUGAAAAAGAACCUGAAACCGUGUACGUACAAGCAGUGGGAGCACAGGUUUACCUGUGUGACUGCGUACCUUUUGUAUAAUGGGUCAGCGACUUAUAUUCUGUAGCAAGGUUAACCGCAUAGGGGAGCCGCAGGGAAACCGAGUCUUAACCGGGCGUUAAGUUGCAGGGUAUAGACCCGAAACCCGGUGAUCUAGCCAUGGGCAGGUUGAAGGUUGGGUAACACUAACUGGAGGACCGAACCGACUAAUGUUGAAAAAUUAGCGGAUGACCUGUGGCUGGGGGUGAAAGGCCAAUCAAACCGGGAGAUAGCUGGUUCUCCCCGAAAGCUAUUUAGGUAGCGCCUCGUGAAUUCAUCUCCGGGGGUAGAGCACUGUUUCGGCUAGGGGGUCAUCCCGACUUACCAACCCGAUGCAAACUGCGAAUACCGGAGAAUGUUAUCACGGGAGACACACGGCGGGUGCUAACGUCCGUCGUGAAGAGGGAAACAACCCAGACCGCCAGCUAAGGUCCCAAAGUCAUGGUUAAGUGGGAAACGAUGUGGGAAGGCCCAGACAGCCAGGAUGUUGGCUUAGAAGCAGCCAUCAUUUAAAGAAAGCGUAAUAGCUCACUGGUCGAGUCGGCCUGCGCGGAAGAUGUAACGGGGCUAAACCAUGCACCGAAGCUGCGGCAGCGAACGUAUCACCCAAGACAACUUUGCGGAGUUGACGAUUGACGGAGCGAAGCGACGUCAAAGCGUUCAUUAAAGUCGAGUUGGCUUAGGGAUACGUUCGUUGGGUAGGGGAGCGUUCUGUAAGCCUGUGAAGGUAUGCUGUGAGGCAUGCUGGAGGUAUCAGAAGUGCGAAUGCUGACAUAAGUAACGAUAAAGCGGGUGAAAAGCCCGCUCGCCGGAAGACCAAGGGUUCCUGUCCAACGUUAAUCGGGGCAGGGUGAGUCGACCCCUAAGGCGAGGCCGAAAGGCGUAGUCGAUGGGAAACGGGUUAAUAUUCCCGUACUUGGUGUUACUGCGAAGGGGGGACGGAGAAGGCUAUGUUGGCCGGGCGACGGUUGUCCCGGUUUAAGCGUGUAGGUGUGUGUUCCAGGUAAAUCCGGUUCACUUUAACACUGAGGCGUGACGACGAGGCACUACGGUGCUGAAGCAACAAAUGCCCUGCUUCCAGGAAAAGCCUCUAAGCAUCAGGUAACAUCAAAUCGUACCCCAAACCGACACAGGUGGUCAGGUAGAGAAUACCAAGGCGCUUGAGAGAACUCGGGUGAAGGAACUAGGCAAAAUGGUGCCGUAACUUCGGGAGAAGGCACGCUGACAUGUAGGUGAAGUGAUUUACUCAUGGAGCUGAAGUCAGUCGAAGAUACCAGCUGGCUGCAACUGUUUAUUAAAAACACAGCACUGUGCAAACACGAAAGUGGACGUAUACGGUGUGACGCCUGCCCGGUGCCGGAAGGUUAAUUGAUGGGGUCAGCGCAAGCGAAGCUCCUGAUCGAAGCCCCGGUAAACGGCGGCCGUAACUAUAACGGUCCUAAGGUAGCGAAAUUCCUUGUCGGGUAAGUUCCGACCUGCACGAAUGGCGUAAUGAUGGCCAGGCUGUCUCCACCCGAGACUCAGUGAAAUUGAACUCGCUGUGAAGAUGCAGUGUACCCGCGGCAAGACGGAAAGACCCCGUGAACCUUUACUAUAGCUUGACACUGAACAUUGAGCCUUGAUGUGUAGGAUAGGUGGGAGGCUUUGAAGCGUGGACGCCAGUCUGCGUGGAGCCGACCUUGAAAUACCACCCUUUAAUGUUUGAUGUUCUAACGUGGACCCGUUACCCGGGUUGCGGACAGUGUCUGGUGGGUAGUUUGACUGGGGCGGUCUCCUCCUAAAGAGUAACGGAGGAGCACGAAGGUUGGCUAAUCCUGGUCGGACAUCAGGAGGUUAGUGCAAUGGCAUAAGCCAGCUUGACUGCGAGCGUGACGGCGCGAGCAGGUGCGAAAGCAGGUCAUAGUGAUCCGGUGGUUCUGAAUGGAAGGGCCAUCGCUCAACGGAUAAAAGGUACUCCGGGGAUAACAGGCUGAUACCGCCCAAGAGUUCAUAUCGACGGCGGUGUUUGGCACCUCGAUGUCGGCUCAUCACAUCCUGGGGCUGAAGUAGGUCCCAAGGGUAUGGCUGUUCGCCAUUUAAAGUGGUACGCGAGCUGGGUUUAGAACGUCGUGAGACAGUUCGGUCCCUAUCUGCCGUGGGCGCUGGAGAACUGAGGGGGGCUGCUCCUAGUACGAGAGGACCGGAGUGGACGCAUCACUGGUGUUCGGGUUGUCAUGCCAAUGGCACUGCCCGGUAGCUAAAUGCGGAAGAGAUAAGUGCUGAAAGCAUCUAAGCACGAAACUUGCCCCGAGAUGAGUUCUCCCUGAGACUUUAGGUCUCCUGAAGGAACGUUGAAGACGACGACGUUGAUAGGCCGGGUGUGUAAGCGCAGCGAUGCGUUGAGCUAACCGGUACUAAUGAACCGUGAGGCUUAACCUU
This 2992-nucleotide ribosomal RNA is filed under the name Salmonella enterica subsp. enterica serovar Indiana. Its description in RNAcentral is "23S ribosomal RNA". It matches the Rfam family "Bacterial large subunit ribosomal RNA". Lineage: Bacteria; Pseudomonadati; Pseudomonadota; Gammaproteobacteria; Enterobacterales; Enterobacteriaceae. The record is from RNAcentral.